UACAGAGGUCCCAAGCGUUGUUCGGAUUCACUGGGCGUAAAGGGUGCGUAGGAGGCUGGGAAAGUCGGAUGUGAAAUCUCACCGCUUAACGGUGAAACUGCAUUCGAUACUACUCGGCUAGAGGAUCGGAGGGGAGAGCAGAAUUCUUGGUGUAGCGGUGAAAUGCGCAGAUAUCAGGAGGAACACCGAUGGCGAAGGCAGGUCUCUGGGCAUUAACUGACGCUGAGGAGCGAAAGCAUGGGGAGCGAACAGG
This 253-nucleotide ribosomal RNA is filed under the name uncultured bacterium. Its description in RNAcentral is "partial 16S ribosomal RNA". It matches the Rfam family "Bacterial small subunit ribosomal RNA", at positions 524 to 776 of the family's 1533-position model. The record is from RNAcentral.